GGUUGCUUUAUUUCUCUUAUGUUUUAGUCACCCUGUACCCAUUAUAGGUGCAGGGUGUGUGUAAUGUUUAUAGUGUGUGUGUGUACUGUGAAAUGUAUUGCCUGCUCUCCUGUACUGCUGAGGUUUGCUACCAACUAGGUGGAUUUGGCUACGGAGCUUGUCUAGUGCCCUCUGUUGGUAGCAACAGAAAUAUGCACUACCCGAAUAGCAAGACUGGUUCAUUUGCAUAUUCGGGUAGAUUUGCAUAUUGCUAAUUCUGCAGGCACAUGAGAUAUUUUAUGUUAAAUAUGUCUCCCCC
Non-coding RNA from Pelobates cultripes (western spadefoot toad), 298 nucleotides. The record is from the annotation of a GenBank genome assembly. Lineage: Eukaryota; Metazoa; Chordata; Amphibia; Anura; Pelobatidae.